GCAUAUCAAUAAGCGGAGGAAAAGAAACUAACAAGGAUUCCCUUAGUAACGGCGAGUGAACCGGGAAAAGCUCAAAUUUGAAAUCUGGCUGUCUUCGAUAGUCCGAGUUGUAAUCUAUAGAAGCGUUUUCCGCGCUGAACUGUGUAUAAGUCCCUUGGAACAGGGUAUCAAAGAGGGUGACAAUCCCGUACUUACACAAUCAUCAGUGCUCUGUGAUACGU
Molecule: ribosomal RNA, 221 nt
Filed under: uncultured yeast
Lineage: Eukaryota; Fungi
Description: partial 26S ribosomal RNA
Rfam family: Eukaryotic large subunit ribosomal RNA
Source: RNAcentral